Manis pentadactyla (Chinese pangolin) is the source of this 1023-nucleotide long non-coding RNA. RefSeq lists it as uncharacterized. The transcript is spliced from 10 exons. NCBI's taxonomy places the organism in Eukaryota, Metazoa, Chordata, Mammalia, Pholidota, Manidae. The record is from RefSeq and is a predicted model, not a curated record.
AGAACACCAACCCGCCAAGAAAACUGGAACGAAGAGGAGAAGAUGUGAUACGGGAACAUCGAGCCUAAACUGAGAGCAGCCGGAUGUGGAUCCCUGUGUUGGCGCGAGUGGCAGGAACCUCAAGUCUCUCCAAGUGCUCCGCCUGUCUUUGCUUUCCAACCCCACCGGUCCUCCAGAGCAUCACGUGAGAACACCAACCCGCCAAGAAAACUGGAACGAAGAGGAGAAGAUGUGAUACGGGAACAUCGAGCCUAAACUGAGAGCAGCCGGAUGUGGAUCCCUGUGUUGGCGCGAGUGGCAGGAACCUCAAGUCUCUCCAAGUGCUCCGCCUGUCUUUGCUUUCCAACCCCACCGGUCCUCCAGAGCAUCACGUGAGAACACCAACCCGCCAAGAAAACUGGAACGAAGAGGAGAAGAUGUGAUACGGGAACAUCGAGCCUAAACUGAGAGCAGCCGGAUGUGGAUCCCUGUGUUGGCGCGAGUGGCAGGAACCUCAAGUCUCUCCAAGUGCUCCGCCUGUCUUUGCUUUCCAACCCCACCGGUCCUCCAGAGCAUCACGUGAGAACACCAACCCGCCAAGAAAACUGGAACGAAGAGGAGAAGAUGUGAUACGGGAACAUCGAGCCUAAACUGAGAGCAGCCGGAUGUGGAUCCCUGUGUUGGCGCGAGUGGCAGGAACCUCAAGUCUCUCCAAGUGCUCCGCCUGUCUUUGCUUUCCAACCCCACCGGUCCUCCAGAGCAUCACGUGAGAACACCAACCCGCCAAGAAAACUGGAACGAAGAGGAGAAGAUGUGAUACGGGAACAUCGAGCCUAAACUGAGAGCAGCCGGAUGUGGAUCCCUGUGUUGGCGCGAGUGGCAGGAACCUCAAGUCUCUCCAAGUGCUCCGCCUGUCUUUGCUUUCCAACCCCACCGGUCCUCCAGAGCAUCACGUGAGGUAGGUCCGUGCUCCCAGAGCAGAUCUCCAGGGCUGGGUGUUCAGCAGCCCUAGGCCUCCACCCGCCUCCCCGUUUCCGUUUCUCU